GGAUGCAGACGUCACCUUCAUCCGGAAAAACCUCAUCAAACCCUGUAAGUUCAUGAUGACCGUUUUUGGUGCCUAAUUCUUUCUAUAUGCAAUCGAACCACAAUGCGUGUGCGUGACGAUUGCAACGCGCGAAGACCGUUAUGUGCGCAGUGAAAGGACUUCAUGCGUUUGAAAUUAAGUGUAACGUUAUAAGUAUUACGAGCCAGGAUUAAAUCCGACCGAAGCAGACCCGAAGAUAAAAUGAAAAACACAUUUAUGGAGUAACAAACAACAAGAAAUAACAAGAAUAAAAUAACAAUGCGCAAUUCAAAAACUAGAAUAGAAA
Molecule: long non-coding RNA, 325 nt
Organism: Trachymyrmex septentrionalis
Lineage: Eukaryota; Metazoa; Arthropoda; Insecta; Hymenoptera; Formicidae
Exons: 4
Source: RefSeq, a predicted model, not a curated record